RNAcentral lists this ribosomal RNA (480 nucleotides) under uncultured bacterium. RNAcentral describes it as "bacterial SSU rRNA". It matches the Rfam family "Bacterial small subunit ribosomal RNA", at positions 903 to 1397 of the family's 1533-position model. The record is from RNAcentral.
AAAUGAAUUGACGGGGACCCGCACAAGCGGUGGAGCGUGUUCUUUAAUUCGAUGCUAAACGAAGAACCUUACCAGGGCUUGACAUCCCGAGAAUUACUGCGAAAGCAGUGAGUGCCUUAGGGAACUCGGUGACAGGUGCUGCAUGGCCGUCGUCAGCUCGUGUCGUGAGAUGUUUGGUUAAGUCCAUCAACGAGCGCAACCCCUAUGAAUAGUUGAAUUUUUCUAUUCAGACUGCCCCGGCAACGGGGAGGAGGGGGGGGAUGAUGUCAGGUCAGUAUUGCCCUUACGUCCUGGGCUAGAAACGCGCUACAAUGGCCGGUACAACGCGAUGCCAACCCGCAAGGGGGAGCAAAUCGCAUCAAAGCCGGUCCCAGUUCAGAUUGCAGGCUGAAACUCGCCUGCAUGAAGUCGGAAUCGCUAGUAAUCGCAGAUCAGCACGCUGCGGUGAAUACGUUCCCGGGUCUUGCACACACCGCCCGU